This 23-nucleotide non-coding RNA is filed under the name Arabidopsis thaliana (thale cress). The record is from RNAcentral. Lineage: Eukaryota; Viridiplantae; Streptophyta; Magnoliopsida; Brassicales; Brassicaceae.
GUUAGAGUGCUUAUUUCAAAACA